AGCAGCCGCGGUAAUUCCAGCUCCAAUAGCGUAUAUUAAAGUUGUUGCAGUUAAAAGCUCGUAGUUGAAUUUCGGGGUUAGUAGGUUGGUCAUGCCUCUGGUAUGUACUGGUCUCACUGAUUCCUCCUUCCUGAUGAACCUUAAUGCCAUUUAUUUGGUGUUUUGGGGAAUUUGGACUGUUACUUUGAAAAAUUAGAGUGUUUAAAGCAAGCUAACGCUUGAAUACAUUAGCAUGGAAUAAUGAAAUAGGACGUUCGAUCCUAUUUUGUUGGUUUCUAGGAUUGACGUAAUGAUUAAUAGGGAUAGUUGGGGGCAUUAGUAUUCAAUUGUCAGAGGUGAAAUUCUUGGAUUUAUUGAAGACUAACUACUGCGAAAGCAUUUGCCAAGGAUGUUCUCAUUAAUCAAGAACGAAAGUUAGGGGAUCGAAGACGAUCAGAUACCGUCGUAGUCUUAACCAUAAACUAUGCCGACUAGGGAUCGGAUGAUGUUAAUUUUUAAUGACUCAUUCGGCGCCUUACGG
RNAcentral lists this unclassified non-coding RNA (520 nucleotides) under uncultured Glomus. RNAcentral's name for it is "SSU rRNA". It matches the Rfam family "Eukaryotic small subunit ribosomal RNA", at positions 569 to 1093 of the family's 1831-position model. Lineage: Eukaryota; Fungi; Glomeromycota; Glomeromycetes; Glomerales; Glomeraceae. The record is from RNAcentral.